CGCUUAUUUUGCUCAGGCGGAGCUCGACCGCCGGUUCAAGCCAUGAUCGCCUUCAUCGACGAUCAUCGUCAAGUGCACGGCGUCGAGCCGAUCUGCAGGGUGCUGCCGAUCGCUCCG
Molecule: non-coding RNA, 117 nt
Filed under: Oceanicaulis sp. 350
Lineage: Bacteria; Pseudomonadati; Pseudomonadota; Alphaproteobacteria; Maricaulales; Maricaulaceae
Description: ALIL
Rfam family: ALIL pseudoknot
Source: RNAcentral